This 705-nucleotide ribosomal RNA is filed under the name Kocuria salsicia. RNAcentral's name for it is "bacterial SSU rRNA". It matches the Rfam family "Bacterial small subunit ribosomal RNA", at positions 24 to 736 of the family's 1533-position model. The record is from RNAcentral. Lineage: Bacteria; Bacillati; Actinomycetota; Actinomycetes; Micrococcales; Micrococcaceae.
UCAGGACGAACGCUGGCGGCGUGCUUAACACAUGCAAGUCGAACGCUGAAGCUUGGUGCUUGCACUGGGUGGAUGAGUGGCGAACGGGUGAGUAAUACGUGAGUAACCUGCCCUUGACUCUGGGAUAAGCCUGGGAAACUGGGUCUAAUACUGGAUACGACAUGUCACUGCAUGGUGGUGUGUGGAAAGGGUUUUACUGGUUUUGGAUGGGCUCACGGCCUAUCAGCUUGUUGGUGGGGUAAUGGCCUACCAAGGCGACGACGGGUAGCCGGCCUGAGAGGGUGACCGGCCACACUGGGACUGAGACACGGCCCAGACUCCUACGGGAGGCAGCAGUGGGGAAUAUUGCACAAUGGGCGGAAGCCUGAUGCAGCGACGCCGCGUGAGGGAUGACGGCCUUCGGGUUGUAAACCUCUUUCAGCACGGAAGAAGCGAGAGUGACGGUACGUGCAGAAGAAGCGCCGGCUAACUACGUGCCAGCAGCCGCGGUAAUACGUAGGGCGCAAGCGUUGUCCGGAAUUAUUGGGCGUAAAGAGCUCGUAGGCGGUUUGUCGCGUCUGCUGUGAAAGCCCGGGGCUUAACCCCGGGUGUGCAGUGGGUACGGGCAGACUUGAGUGCAGUAGGGGAGACUGGAAUUCCUGGUGUAGCGGUGAAAUGCGCAGAUAUCAGGAAGAACACCGAUGGCGAAGGCAGGUCUCUGGGCUG